Molecule: ribosomal RNA, 253 nt
Filed under: uncultured bacterium
Lineage: Bacteria
Description: partial 16S ribosomal RNA
Rfam family: Bacterial small subunit ribosomal RNA
Source: RNAcentral
UACGAAGGGUGCUAGCGUUGUUCGGAAUCACUGGGCGUAAAGCGCGCGUAGGCGGCCAUUCAAGUCAGGGGUGAAAUCCUUGGGCUUAACCCAAGAACUGCCUUUGAAACUGUAUGGCUGGAGUGUCGGAGGGGAUAGCGGAAUUCCUAAUGUAGUGGUGAAAUACGUAGAUAUUAGGAGGAACACCGGUGGCGAAGGCGGCUAUCUGGACGACAACUGACGCUGAGGCGCGAAAGCGUGGGGAUCAAACAGG